GUCAUGGAACACCGAUUGCGAAGGCAGCCUACUAAGCCGUUACUGACGCUGAGGGACGAAAGUGUGGGGAGCGAACAGGAUUAGAUACCCUGGUAGUCCACACCGUAAACGAUGAUUACUCGGUAUUGGCUUUAUUGUCAGUGCCCAAGCGAAAGUGAUAAGUAAUCCACCUGGGGAGUACGGCCGCAAGGUUGAAACUCAAAGGAAUUGACGGGGGCCCGCACAAGCGGUGGAGCAUGUGGUUUAAUUCGAUGAUACGCGAGGAACCUUACCAGGGCUUAAAUGUAGAACGACCGGGGUGGAAACACCCCCUUUUUCGAACGGUCUACAAGGUGCUGCAUGGUUGUCGUCAGCUCGUGCUGUGAAGUGUCGGGUUAAGUCCCAUAACGAGCGCAACCCCUAUUUCUAGUUGCCAGCGGUUCGGCCGGGGACUCUAGAGAAACUGCCAGCGUAAGCUGUGAGGAAGGUGGGGACGACGUCAAAUCAUCACGGCCCUUACGUCCUGGGCCACACACGUGCUACAAUGGUGGGGACAACGAGUUGCCAACCCGCAAGGGUGAGCUAAUCUCUCAAACCCCAUCUCAGUUCGGAUCGGAGUCUGCAACUCGACUCCGUGAAGUUGGAAUCGCUAGUAAUCGCGCAUCAGCCAUGGCGCGGUGAAUACGUUCCCGGGCCUUGUACACACCGCCCGUCAAGCCAUGGAAUCUGGGGGCGCCUGAAGUCAGUAACCGCAAGGAGCUGCCUAGGGCGAAUCUGGUAACUAGGGCUAAGUCGUAACAAGGUAGCCGUA
RNAcentral lists this ribosomal RNA (790 nucleotides) under uncultured bacterium. RNAcentral describes it as "bacterial SSU rRNA". It matches the Rfam family "Bacterial small subunit ribosomal RNA", at positions 698 to 1504 of the family's 1533-position model. The record is from RNAcentral.